GUGAGUAAAUCUACCUCUUUGA
Molecule: microRNA, 22 nt
Filed under: Drosophila simulans
Lineage: Eukaryota; Metazoa; Arthropoda; Insecta; Diptera; Drosophilidae
Description: dsi-miR-2584-5p
Source: miRBase by way of RNAcentral